This 497-nucleotide ribosomal RNA is filed under the name uncultured bacterium. RNAcentral's name for it is "bacterial SSU rRNA". It matches the Rfam family "Bacterial small subunit ribosomal RNA", at positions 903 to 1397 of the family's 1533-position model. The record is from RNAcentral.
AAAUGAAUAGACGGGGCCCCGCACAAGCGGCGGAGCAUGCGGAUUAAUUCGAUGCAACGCGUAGAACCUUACCUGGGUUUGACAUGGAUCGGGAGUGCUCAGAGAUGGGUGUGCCUCUUUUGGGGUCGGUUCACAGGUGGUGCAUGGCUGUCGUCAGCUCGUGUCGUGAGAUGUUGGGUUAAGUCCCGCAACGAGCGCAACCCUUGUUCACUGUUGCCAGCACGUUAUGGUGGGGACUCAGUGGAGACCGCCGGGGUCAACUCGGAGGAAGGUGGGGAUGACGUCAAGUCAUCAUGCCCCUUAUGUCCAGGGCUUCACGCAUGCUACAAUGGCUGGUACAGAGAGUGGCGAGCCUGUGAGGGUGAGCGAAUCUCGGAAAGCCGGUCUCAGUUCGGAUUGGGGUCUGCAACUCGACCUCAUGAAGUCGGAGUCGCUAGUAAUCGCAGAUCAGCAACGCUGCGGUGAAUACGUUCCCGGGGCUUGUACACACCGCCCGU